This 431-nucleotide ribosomal RNA is filed under the name uncultured bacterium. Its description in RNAcentral is "partial 16S ribosomal RNA". It matches the Rfam family "Bacterial small subunit ribosomal RNA", at positions 29 to 507 of the family's 1533-position model. The record is from RNAcentral.
AACGAACGCUGGCGGCAUGCUUAACACAUGCAAGUCUAGCGCCCCGCAAGGGGCUCGGCAGACGGCUGGGUAACGCGUGGGAACGUACCUUUUGGUUCGGAACAACUCCGGUAAACUUGAACUCAUACCGGAUUAGCUCUAACGGGGAAAUAUUUAUUGCCAAAAGAUCGGCCCGCGUCUGAUUAGCUAGUUGGUGAGGUAACGGCUCACCAAGGCGACGAUCAGUAGCUGGUCUGAGAGGAUGAUCAGCCACUCUGGGACUGAGACACGACCCAGACUAUUAAGGGAGGUGGCAAUGCGGAAUAUAGGACAACUGGCGCAAGUAUGAGCCAUACAGGCCGUGUGAGUGAUGAAGGCAUGAUGGAUGCAAAGAUCUAUAGAAUGGGAAGAUAAUGACUGUACCGGAAUAAGAAGAUCCGGAUAAAUUAGUG